AACGAACGCUGGCGGCGCGCCUAAUACAUGCAAGUCGAGCGAGAAGACGUAGCAAUACGUUUGUAAAGCGGCGAACGGGUGAGGAAUACAUGGGUAACCUACCCUCGAGUGGGGAAUAACUAGCCGAAAGGUUAGCUAAUACCGCGUACGCUCCUUGGACUUCGGUUCAGGGAGGAAAGCGAUACCGUGGGUAUCGCGCUCUUGGAUGGGCUCAUGUCCUAUCAGCUUGUUGGGAGGUAACGGCUCACCAAGGCUUCGACGGGUAGCUGGUCUGAGAGGACGAUCAGCCACACUGGCACUGCGACACGGGCCAGACUCCUACGGGAGGCAGCAGUAAGGAAUAUUGCGCAAUGGGCGAAAGCCUGACGCAGCGACGCCGCGUGGGGGAUGAAGGUCUUCGGAUUG
Molecule: ribosomal RNA, 405 nt
Filed under: uncultured bacterium
Lineage: Bacteria
Description: bacterial SSU rRNA
Rfam family: Bacterial small subunit ribosomal RNA
Source: RNAcentral